AGAGUUUGAUCAUGGCUCAGGACGAACGCUGGCGGCGUGCCUAACACAUGCAAGUCGAACGAGGUUCAUUCGGUAGCAAUACCGGAGAAAACCAAGUGGCGAACGGGUGAGUAACACGUGAGCAACCUACCCCGAAGACUGGGACAACACCGGGAAACCGGUGCUAAUACCGGAUACCCCCAUUGGACCGCAUGGUCUGAUGAGGAAACGGAUUCCGCUUCGGGAGGGGCUCGCGGCCUAUCAGCUAGUUGGUGAGGUAACGGCUCACCAAGGCAUCGACGGGUAGCUGGUCUGAGAGGACGAUCAGCCACACUGGGACUGAGACACGGCCCAGACUCCUACGGGAGGCAGCAGUGGGGAAUCUUGCACAAUGGGCGAAAGCCUGAUGCAGCAACGCCGCGUGAGGGACGAAGGCUUUCUGAGUUGUAAACCUCUUUCAGCAGGGACGAUGAUGACGGUACCUGCAGAAGAAGCCCCGGCCAACUACGUGCCAGCAGCCGCGGUAAUACGUAGGGGGGCAAGCGUUGUCCGGAUUUAUUGGGCGUAAAGAGCUCGUAGGCGGCUUGGCAAGUCGGAUGUGAAACCUCCAGGCUUAACCUGGAGUCGCCAUUCGAUACUGCUAUGGCUAGAGUUUGGUAGGGGACCACGGAAUUCCUGGUGUAGCGGUGAAAUGCGCAGAUAUCAGGAGGAACACCAGCGGCGAAGGCGGUGGUCUGGGCCAAUACUGACGCUGAGGAGCGAAAGCGUGGGGAGCGAACAGGAUUAGAUACCCUGGUAGUCCACGCCGUAAACGUUGGGCACUAGGUGUGGGGACCUAUCGACGGUUUCCGUGCCGCAGCUAACGCAUUAAGUGCCCCGCCUGGGGAGUACGGCCGCAAGGCUAAAACUCAAGGAAUUGACGGGGGCCCGCAC
RNAcentral lists this ribosomal RNA (912 nucleotides) under uncultured bacterium. RNAcentral's name for it is "bacterial SSU rRNA". It matches the Rfam family "Bacterial small subunit ribosomal RNA", at positions 8 to 926 of the family's 1533-position model. The record is from RNAcentral.